This 750-nucleotide ribosomal RNA is filed under the name Triticum aestivum (bread wheat). RNAcentral's name for it is "partial small subunit ribosomal RNA". Lineage: Eukaryota; Viridiplantae; Streptophyta; Magnoliopsida; Poales; Poaceae. The record is from RNAcentral.
AUGGGUUUCAGAGAUGUACACUGUUUUAACUUGGCCCUCCUAGCUAAACAGUGCUGGAGAUUGCUAGCAGAACCAGAUUCUUUAUGUGCCAGAAUAUUGAGGGCAAAAUAUUUCCCGGACGGAGAUUUACUAAAUUGUCCCCUCAAGAAAGGUAGUUCUUAUACUUGGCAGAGCUUGUGGAGUGGUGUUCAGACUUUCAAAACAGGAUACGUAUGGAGAGUUGUAGAUGGCACACAAAUAAACAUUUGGGAUGAUCCUUGGGUAUCUAGCAGCCCAAACAGGAAGGUAAUGACUCCACGAGGUAAUAUCAUUCUCACUAAAGUUUCUAAGCUGAUUGACAUGGAUAAUAGGUGUUGGGAUGAACAACUUAUCAGACAUAUUUUCUGGCCCAUUUACAAUCGUAUUUUGAAUAUACCCCUAGCUACGGGGAUGAUGGAGGAUUUUGUUUCGUGGCACUAUAAUAAAACUGGAAUUUUCUCGAUCAAGAUGGCUUACCACAUGGAGUGGGAUCACCAACAUGGACGAAAGCUGAGACAAACAAAUUCAGUAUUGUCCUCAAGUACUAGUCCAAUCUGGCGCAUUCUAUGGAAGCUUCGAGUACCGGCUAAAAUUAAAGUGCAUGUAUGGCGAGCUUUGUAUGGAGCAAUUCCUUGCCGGGGUGUUUUGGCAAAUCGACAUACAAUUACAAUAUCGGACUGCCCAAUUUGUGAGUCAGACUGCGAGAGUGUUCGCCAUUCUUUUUUUAGAUGA